This 969-nucleotide ribosomal RNA is filed under the name uncultured Actinomycetales bacterium. RNAcentral's name for it is "bacterial SSU rRNA". It matches the Rfam family "Bacterial small subunit ribosomal RNA", at positions 50 to 1035 of the family's 1533-position model. The record is from RNAcentral. Lineage: Bacteria; Bacillati; Actinomycetota; Actinomycetes; Actinomycetales.
UACACAUGCAAGUCGAGCGAUGAAACUACUUCGGUAGUGAAUUAGCGGCGAACGGGUGAGGAACACGUGAGGAAUCUGCCUUCAACACUGGGAUAACUCCGGGAAACCGGGGCUAAUACCGGAUACGAGCCUUGAUCGCAUGAUCGAGGCUGGAAAGUUUUUCGGUUGAAGAUGACCUCGCGGCCUAUCAGCUUGUUGGUGAGGUAAUGGCUCACCAAGGCGACGACGGGUAGCCGGCCUGAGAGGGCGACCGGCCACGCUGGGACUGAGACACGGCCCAGACUCCUACGGGAGGCAGCAGUGGGGAAUAUUGGGCAAUGGAGGAAACUCUGACCCAGCGACGCCGCGUGCGGGAUGAAGGCCUUCGGGUUGUAAACCGCUUUCAGUAGGGAAGAAGCGAAAGUGACGGUACCUACAGAAGAAGCACCGGCUAACUAUGUGCCAGCAGCCGCGGUAAUACAUAGGGUGCAAGCGUUGUCCGGAAUUAUUGGGCGUAAAGAGCUCGUAGGUGGUUUGAUACGUCGGGUGUGAAAUUCAGGGGCUCAACCCCUGACCUGCAUUCGAUACGGUCAAGCUAGAGUUUGGUAGGGGAGACUGGAAUUCCUGGUGUAGCGGUGGAAUGCGCAGAUAUCAGGAGGAACACCGAUGGCGAAGGCAGGUCUCUGGGCCAAUACUGACACUGAGGAGCGAAAGCGUGGGGAGCGAACAGGAUUAGAUACCCUGGUAGUCCACGCCGUAAACGGUGGGCGCUAGUUGUGCGAACCUUCCACGGUUUGUGCGACGCAGCUAACGCAUUAAGCGCCCCGCCUGGGGAGUACGAUCGCAAGAUUAAAACUCAAAGGAAUUGACGGGGCCCCGCACAAGCAGCGGAGCAUGCGGCUUAAUUCGACGCAACGCGAAGAACCUUACCAAGGCUUGACAUAUACAGGAAUACGGCAGAGAUGUCGUAGCGGUUAAACGUCUGUAUAC